CAAAAACAUAGGCUAGUAGAAUAUACUAUUAGUAACUCCCUGCUCAAUGAAUUCUUAAAUAGCCGCAGUACUCUGACUGUGCUAAGGUAGCAUAAUCAGUUGGCUUCUAAUUAGAGUCUAGUAUGAAUGGAGCAAUGAAGGUAAGCUGUGUCAGCAAUAUAUGGUAAACUUGCUGAGCAAGUGCAAAAACUUGCGCGGGAGAUAAUAGACGAGAAGACCCUAGAAAUUUAAAUAUUAUUUUGUUGGGGCAACAGCAUAACAUUGAAUUUAUGCUGCGGACUGGACAAGAAAUUGUUAGGCAGAAUAAAUUACUCUAGGGAUAACAGCAUAAUUUUUAAAAGUUUGUGACCUCGAUGUUGGACUAGGAAGUUUAAAGCCGAGAAGGUUCUAAAUUAUGCACUGUUCG
RNAcentral lists this ribosomal RNA (406 nucleotides) under Megalacron sp. Wagina. RNAcentral describes it as "partial 16S ribosomal RNA". It matches the Rfam family "Bacterial large subunit ribosomal RNA", at positions 1808 to 2583 of the family's 2925-position model. Lineage: Eukaryota; Metazoa; Mollusca; Gastropoda; Stylommatophora; Camaenidae. The record is from RNAcentral.